Molecule: ribosomal RNA, 461 nt
Filed under: uncultured bacterium
Lineage: Bacteria
Description: bacterial SSU rRNA
Rfam family: Bacterial small subunit ribosomal RNA
Source: RNAcentral
GGACCCGCACAAGCGGUGGAUGAUGUGGUUUAAUUCGAUGCAACGCGAAAAACCUUACCUACCCUUGACAUGCCAGGAAUCCCAUAGAGAUGUGGGAGUGCUCGAAAGAGAGCCUGGGCACAGGUGCUGCAUGGCCGUCGUCAGCUCGUGUCGUGAGAUGUUGGGUUAAGUCCCGCAACGAGCGCAACCCUUGUCAUUAGUUGCUACGAAAGGGCACUCUAAUGAGACUGCCGGUGACAAACCGGAGGAAGGUGGGGAUGACGUCAGGUCCUCAUGGCCCUUAUGGGUAGGGCUACACACGUCAUACAAUGGCCGGUACAGAGGGCUGCCAACCCGCGAGGGGGAGCCAAUCCCAGAAAACCGGUCGUAGUCCGGAUUGCAGUCUGCAACUCGACUGCAUGAAGUCGGAAUCGCUAGUAAUCGCGGAUCAGCUUGCCGCGGUGAAUACGUUCCCGGGUCUU